GACGAACGCUGGCGGCGUGCUUAACACAUGCAAGUCGAACGGAAAGGCCCUGCUUUUGUGGGGUGCUCGAGUGGCGAACGGGUGAGUAACACGUGAGUAACCUGCCCUUGACUUUGGGAUAACUUCAGGAAACUUGGGCUAAUACCGGAUAGGAGCUCCUGCUGCAUGGUGGGGGUUGGAAAGUUUCGGCGGUUGGGGAUGGACUCGCGGCUUAUCAGCUUGUUGGUGGGGUAGUGGCUUACCAAGGCUUUGACGGGUAGCCGGCCUGAGAGGGUGACCGGCCACAUUGGGACUGAGAUACGGCCCAGACUCCUACGGGAGGCAGCAGUGGGGAAUAUUGCACAAUGGGCGGAAGCCUGAUGCAGCAACGCCGCGUGCGGGAUGACGGCCUUCGGGUUGUAAACCGAUUUCGCCUGUGACGAAGCGUGAGUGACGGUAAUGGGUAAAGAAGCACCGGCUAACUACGUG
Molecule: ribosomal RNA, 468 nt
Filed under: uncultured bacterium
Lineage: Bacteria
Description: partial 16S ribosomal RNA
Rfam family: Bacterial small subunit ribosomal RNA
Source: RNAcentral